This is an RNA transcript of Oncorhynchus keta (chum salmon), 2285 nucleotides long. RefSeq lists it as uncharacterized. The record is from RefSeq and is a predicted model, not a curated record. NCBI's taxonomy places the organism in Eukaryota, Metazoa, Chordata, Actinopteri, Salmoniformes, Salmonidae. The transcript has 2 exons.
AUUUAACAGAAUUACAUGUAUUUAGCAGAAUUACAUGUAUUUAACAGAAUUACAUGUAUUUAACAGAAUUACAUGUAUUUAGCAGAAUUACAUGUAUUUAAGUAUUUUGCUCGUGGGGAAAGUAACAUUAGUACUUAAAAAAACAAUACUUUAAACAUUUUAAUAUUUUUUAUUAUUUUUAUGUUAUAAGCUCACAUACUAUACAUUGAAAAUAUGAAGUAUUAAGGUGUAUAAGAGAAUAAACGUGUUUUAAUUAAUAUUAACAUUAAUAAAUGAAUUUCCACAGCUUCCUAAAUGUUUUUUUUACAAGAUGACAGAGUGGCCUUUCCUACCCAGGUCUGGUGUUGGAGAUCAUUCCACACUCUGUGUUCUACUACCCAGGUCAUUCUACACUCUGUGUUCUACUACCCAGGUCAUUCUACACUCUGUGUUCUACUACCCAGGUCUGGUGUUGGAGAUCAUUCUACACUCUGUGUUCUACUACCCAGGUCUGGUGUUGGAGAUCAUUCUACACUCUGUGUUCUACUACCCAGGUCUGGUGUUGGAGAUCAUUCUACACUCUGUGUUCUACUACCCAGGUCUGGUGUUGGAGAUCAUUCUACACUCUGUGUUCUACUACCCAGGUCUGGUGUUGGAGAUCAUUCUACACUCUGUGUUCUACUACCCAGGUCUGGUGUUGGAGAUCAUUCUACACUCUGUGUUCUACUACCCAGGUCAUUCUACACUCUGUGUUCUACUACCCAGGUCUGGUGUUGGAGAUCAUUCCACACUCUGUGUUCUACUACCCAGGUCUGGUGUUGGAGAUCAUUCUACACUCUGUUCUAAUACCCAGGUCUGGUGUUGGAGAUCAUUCUACACUCUGUGUUCUACUACCCAGGUCUGGUGUUGGAGAUCAUUCUACACUCUGUGUUCUACUACCCAGGUCUUGUUGGAGAUCAUUCUACACUCUGUGUUCUACUACCCAGGUCUGGUGUUGGAGAUCAUUCUACACUCUGUGUUCUACUACCCAGGUCUUGGCGGAGGUCAUUCUACACUCUGUGGAUCUCCUGAGUGUAUUUUCUGAUGUUUAAUCAGAGAACUUGAAUGAGAGUAUCUCUUGUCACACUGAUCACAGCCAUAAGGCUUCUCUCCAGUGUGUAUUCUCUGGUGUACUGCCAGGUUGCUUGAGGUAGAACAACUCGUCCCGCAGUCAGAGCAGUGGUAAGGUUUCUCUCCGGUGUGGGUUCUCUUGUGUGAUAUCAGGUUACUUGAGGUAGUACAUCUCUUCCCACAAUCUGGGCAGUGGUAAGGCUUUUCACCAGUGUGGGUUCUCUGAUGUACUAUCAGUAUGUCUAAUAAAGCAAAACUCUUCCCACAUUCAGAGCAGUGGUGAGGCUUCUCUCCUGUGUGUGUUCUCUGGUGAGAUUUUAAAUGUGAUGAUCUAACAAAACCCUUCCCACAGUCAGAGCAGUGGUAAGGUUUUCUCCUGUGUGUAUUCUCUGGUGUACAAUCAGGUGACUUGGCUGAGUAAAACUCUUCCCACAUUGAUCACAGCUAUAAGGCUUCUCUCCUGUAUGUGUUCUCUGGUGUGUUAUCAGAUAGCUUGAGGUAGUAAAGCUCAAUCCACAGUUGGAGCAGCGAUAAGGCUUCUCUCCAGUGUGUAUUCUCUUGUGACAGUCAGGUUUGAUGACUGAGUGAAUCGCUUCCCGCAUUGAUCACAGCCAUAUGGCCUCUCUCCUGUAUGUGUUCUCUGGUGUAUAAUCAGUUCACUUGAGGAGGUUAAGCUUUUCCCACAGUCUGAGCAGUGGUGAGGCUUCUCUCCAGUGUGCGUUCGCUGGUGCAGCUUUAAACGCUGUGAUGUUGAAAAGGUCCUCUCACAGUCAGAGCAGUGGUAAGGCUUCUCUCCUGUGUGUGUCAACUGGUGUUUUGUCAGGUUCCCUAGUUGAGAAAAUCUCUUCAAACAGUCAGUGCAGCUAUAAGGUUUCUCUCCUGUAUGGAUUCUGUGGUGUAUUUUAAGUUCUGUUGAAGAGGUGAAACUCUUCCCACAGUCAGAGCAGUGGUGAGGUUUCUUCCCUGUGGAUCUCCGCUGGGGUUUCUUGAGGUGUUCUGAUUUGGAGAGACUCUUCUCAGCCUCGUCAGCAUCAUGAUGUUGUUGAGGCUCCCCAGAGGAUCCACAACACUCACGUCUCUCUCCUGUGUGAACGACAAAAUAAGACAGUCAAUGUAGUGAAUGUUUAAAUGCUUUUACAAACUUUUUUUGACAACUGUCUUCUAACAAUAAGAUGGUCAAGUGAAGAACAAUAGUC